RNAcentral lists this unclassified non-coding RNA (839 nucleotides) under Bromus ramosus. Its description in RNAcentral is "partial external transcribed spacer". The record is from RNAcentral. Lineage: Eukaryota; Viridiplantae; Streptophyta; Magnoliopsida; Poales; Poaceae.
GUACUUCGGCCGACUACCGGCGCCGUGUCCCAUCACUCUUGUGGCAUUGUCCCGAUGGAUUGAACCCGUGGCUUGCGUGCUAGUACCCGACCUACGGGAAGUGGUGCUUCAUAUAAUUGUUGCCUCACGGUGGACGCCCUUUGGGUGUGCCAUUGUGACCGAAUAGCGCUUGCGGCGUUGCCUCGUACAACAGCCAUAUAAUGUGCCUGUUGAUAUCAUGGCAACCUCGCCAUCGCUUUUGGUCUAGGAUGCUGCUCACGAUAAAGGCUCGAGGCCCUUCGGGUUACCUUGAUCCAAAAGAAUGCUCUCUCUCCGAAAUGGCGAUAACCGGGUACAUGUCUUGCCUCUACCUCUCCACAGUUACGUGGUAGGAUACGCAACCCUAUGAUCCGGCCCUCAUGGAGGAGGAGACAUGCUCUCUCCGAAAUGGCGAUAACCGGGUACAUGCUUUGCCUCUACCUCUCCACAGUUACGUGGUAGGAUAUGCAACCCUAUGAUCGGGCCCUCAUGGAGGAUGAGACAUGCUCUCUCUGAAAUGGCGAUAACCGGGUACAUGUUUUGCCUCUACCUCUCCACAGUUACGUGGUAGGAUACGCAACCCUAUGAUCCGGCCCUCAUGGAGGAUGAGACACAAUGUUCUCUCUGAAAUGGCGAUAACCGGGUACAUGUUUUGCCUCUACCUCUCCACAGUUACGUGGUAGGAUACGCAACCCUAUGAUCCGGCCCUCAUGGAGGAUGAGACAUGCUCGCUCAAAAGCGACAACUGGCUCGGCUGUUGCGUUUGCCUUUCCACGCAAGUGGAAUCGCAGGGAAACUACCGACGCUGGACGUCACCGAGG